GUAGGUUUUGUGGUUUUGUU
Molecule: microRNA, 20 nt
Filed under: Gallus gallus (chicken)
Lineage: Eukaryota; Metazoa; Chordata; Aves; Galliformes; Phasianidae
Description: gga-miR-1816
Source: miRBase by way of RNAcentral